UGAAAUUUGGCUCAUAAAAAU
RNAcentral lists this non-coding RNA (21 nucleotides) under Caenorhabditis elegans. The record is from RNAcentral. Lineage: Eukaryota; Metazoa; Nematoda; Chromadorea; Rhabditida; Rhabditidae.